Molecule: ribosomal RNA, 406 nt
Filed under: uncultured bacterium
Lineage: Bacteria
Description: partial 16S ribosomal RNA
Rfam family: Bacterial small subunit ribosomal RNA
Source: RNAcentral
AUUGAACGCUGGCGGCAUGCUUUACACAUGCAAGUCGGACGAGUGGCGAACGGGUCAGUAACGCAUCGGCACGUACCGAGUAAUGGGGGAUAACUGACCGAAAGGACAGCUAAUACCGCCUAUUAUUCGAACGGCCAAUGCCUGAGUAGGUGGUUGGCGGGGUCAAGGCCCACCAAGGCGACGCUCAGUAGCGGGUCUGAGAGGAGGAUCCGCCCCACUGGGACUGAGACACGGACCAGACUCCUACGGGAGGCAGCAGUGGGGAAUUUUGGACAAUGGGCGCAAGCCUGAUCCAGCCAUGCCGCGUGUCUGAAGAAGGCCUUCGGGUUGUAAAGGAAUUUUGUCAGGGAAGCGGUACCUGAAGAAUAAGCACCGGCUAACUACGUGCCAGCCGCCGCGGUAAUAC